Molecule: long non-coding RNA, 314 nt
Filed under: Felis catus (domestic cat)
Lineage: Eukaryota; Metazoa; Chordata; Mammalia; Carnivora; Felidae
Description: lncRNA (ENSFCAG00000049560.1)
Source: RNAcentral
UAGGUCGUAGGGCAGUUCUAUUUUUGGUUUUUUGAGGAACCUCCAUACUGUUUUCCAGAGUGGCUGCACCAGCUUGCAUUCCCAUAACUGCAUCUGCAAUAUUACAAAGAAGAAAAACUUAAAUGCACGUAAAUGGCUUGCUGAAGAAAGAAACAGCUUCAUGUCAAGGCAACUUGGAAGUUGGAAGCUGAAGGAAACUGUUAUGUAAAUAAAGAAGACUGAUAAAACAGAAGAAAAUGGGGCAAGUAAAGACACCUUGUUCAGGAAAAAAAAAAAACCAAGAAGGCAUACAAUAAAAAUUACUUCUUUAAACA